Molecule: non-coding RNA, 417 nt
Organism: Macaca mulatta (Rhesus monkey)
Lineage: Eukaryota; Metazoa; Chordata; Mammalia; Primates; Cercopithecidae
Source: RefSeq, a predicted model, not a curated record
UAGCCCACGUGGAGAACGCCAGGGAGCUGUGAGGGUGUGCAGUAGCGUUCCUGCCAUCUGGACACUUUUUCCUCUACUGAGAUUCAUCUGUGUGAAAUGUGAGUUGGUGAGGAAGAUCAACCUACCGGCCUAGACCAAGACUCAAUGUAGAACCUCCUGAGGUUAUUGGGCCUAUGUUGUCCGAGCAGUUCAGUGAUGAAGAAGGGGAACCACCAAAACCUGAAGAAGGAGAACCAGCAAAUCAAAGUCGGGAUCCUGCACCUGCUCAGGAGGGAGAGGACAAGGGAGCAUCUGCAGCUCAAGGUGAAAAGCAAUCACAGAGUUAAAAGAAGACACGCUGAAAUGAUGCAGGCUGCUCCUGUGUUGGAAAUUUGUUCAUUAAAGUUCUCCCAAUAAAGCUUUACAGCCUUCUGCAAA